This 424-nucleotide ribosomal RNA is filed under the name uncultured bacterium. Its description in RNAcentral is "bacterial SSU rRNA". It matches the Rfam family "Bacterial small subunit ribosomal RNA", at positions 359 to 774 of the family's 1533-position model. The record is from RNAcentral.
GAAUAUUUGACAAUGGGGGGAACCCUGAUCCAGCCAUGCCGCGUGUGUGAAGAAGGCCUUUUGGUGGUAAAGCACUUUAAGCGAGGAGGAGGCUACUCUAGUUAAUACCUAGAGAUAGUGGACGUUACUCGCAGAAUAAGCACCGGCUAACCCCGUGCCAGCAGCCGCGUUAAUACAGAGGUUGCAAGCGUUAAUCGGAUUUACGGGGCGUAAAGCGCGCGUAGGGGGCCAAUUAAGUCAAAUGUGAAACCCCCGAGCUUAACUUGGGAAUUGCAUUCGAUACUGGUUGGCUAGAGUAUGGGAGAGGAUGGUAGAAUUCCAGGUGUAGCGGUGAAAUGCGUAGAGAUCUGGAGGAAUACCGAUGGCGAAGGCAGCCAUCUGGCCUAAUACUGACACUGAGGUGCGAAAGCAUGGGGAGCAAACA